CUGGGAGGACCAUCUCCUAAGGCUAAAUACUCUCUAGUGACCGAUAGUGAACCAGUACCGUGAGGGAAAGGUGAAAAGCACCCCGGAAGGGGAGUGAAAUAGAACCUGAAACCGUGUGCUUACAAGUAGUCAGAGCCCGUUAAUGGGUGAUGGCGUGCCUUUUGUAGAAUGAACCGGCGAGUUACGAUUUGAUGCAAGGUUAAGCAGUAAAUGUGGAGCCGUAGCGAAAGCGAGUCUGAAUAGGGCGUUUAGUAUUUGGUCGUAGACCCGAAACCAGGUGAUCUACCCUUGGUCAGGUUGAAGUUCAGGUAACACUGAAUGGAGGACCGAACCGACUUACGUUGAAAAGUGAGCGGAUGAACUGAGGGUAGCGGAGAAAUUCCAAUCGAACCUGGAGAUAGCUGGUUCUCUCCGAAAUAGCUUUAGGGCUAGCCUCAAGUGAUGAUUAUUGGAGGUAGAGCACUGUUUGGACGAGGGGCCCCUCUCGGGUUACCGAAUUCAGACAAACUCCGAAUGCCAAUUAAUUUAACUUGGGAGUCAGAACAUGGGUGAUAAGGUCCGUGUUCGAAAGGGAAACAGCCCAGACCACCAGCUAAGGUCCCAAAAUAUAUGUUAAGUGGAAAAGGAUGUGGCGUUGCCCAGACAACUAGGAUGUUGGCUUAGAAGCAGCCAUCAUUUAAAGAGUGCGUAAUAGCUCACUAGUCGAGUGACACUGCGCCGAAAAUGUACCGGGGCUAAACAUAUUACCGAAGCUGUGGAUUGUCCUUUGGACAAUGGUAGGAGAGCGUUCUAAGGGCGUUGAAGCAUGAUCGUAAGGACAUGUGGAGCGCUUAGAAGUGAGAAUGCCGGUGUGAGUAGCGAAAGACGGGUGAGAAUCCCGUCCACCGAUUGACUAAGGUUUCCAGAGGAAGGCUCGUCCGCUCUGGGUUAGUCGGGUCCUAAGCUGAGGCCGACAGGCGUAGGCGAUGGAUAACAGGUUGAUAUUCCUGUACCACCUAUAAUCGUUUUAAUCGAUGGGGGGACGCAGUAGGAUAGGCGAAGCGUGCGAUUGGAUUGCACGUCUAAGCAGUAAGGCUGAGUAUUAGGCAAAUCCGGUACUCGUUAAGGCUGAGCUGUGAUGGGGAGAAGACAUUGUGUCUUCGAGUCGUUGAUUUCACACUGCCGAGAAAAGCCUCUAGAUAGAAAAUAGGUGCCCGUACCGCAAACCGACACAGGUAGUCAAGAUGAGAAUUCUAAGGUGAGCGAGCGAACUCUCGUUAAGGAACUCGGCAAAAUGACCCCGUAACUUCGGGAGAAGGGGUGCUCUUUAGGGUUAACGCCCAGAAGAGCCGCAGUGAAUAGGCCCAAGCGACUGUUUAUCAAAAACACAGGUCUCUGCUAAACCGUAAGGUGAUGUAUAGGGGCUGACGCCUGCCCGGUGCUGGAAGGUUAAGAGGAGUGGUUAGCUUCUGCGAAGCUACGAAUCGAAGCCCCAGUAAACGGCGGCCGUAACUAUAACGGUCCUAAGGUAGCGAAAUUCCUUGUCGGGUAAGUUCCGACCCGCACGAAAGGCGUAACGAUUUGGGCACUGUCUCAACGAGAGACUCGGUGAAAUCAUAGUACCUGUGAAGAUGCAGGUUACCCGCGACAGGACGGAAAGACCCCGUGGAGCUUUACUGUAGCCUGAUAUUGAAAUUCGGCACAGCUUGUACAGGAUAGGUAGGAGCCUUUGAAACGUGAGCGCUAGCUUACGUGGAGGCGCUGGUGGGAUACUACCCUAGCUGUGUUGGCUUUCUAACCCGCACCACUUAUCGUGGUGGGAGACAGUGUCAGGCGGGCAGUUUGACUGGGGCGGUCGCCUCCUAAAAGGUAACGGAGGCGCUCAAAGGUUCCCUCAGAAUGGUUGGAAAUCAUUCAUAGAGUGUAAAGGCAUAAGGGAGCUUGACUGCGAGACCUACAAGUCGAGCAGGGUCGAAAGACGGACUUAGUGAUCCGGUGGUUCCGCAUGGAAGGGCCAUCGCUCAACGGAUAAAAGCUACCCCGGGGAUAACAGGCUUAUCUCCCCCAAGAGUUCACAUCGACGGGGAGGUUUGGCACCUCGAUGUCGGCUCAUCGCAUCCUGGGGCUGUAGUCGGUCCCAAGGGUUGGGCUGUUCGCCCAUUAAAGCGGUACGCGAGCUGGGUUCAGA
This 2167-nucleotide ribosomal RNA is filed under the name Staphylococcus aureus. RNAcentral describes it as "partial 23S ribosomal RNA". It matches the Rfam family "Bacterial large subunit ribosomal RNA", at positions 444 to 2615 of the family's 2925-position model. The record is from RNAcentral. Lineage: Bacteria; Bacillati; Bacillota; Bacilli; Caryophanales; Staphylococcaceae.